This 1222-nucleotide ribosomal RNA is filed under the name Alcanivorax sp. HI0035. Its description in RNAcentral is "bacterial LSU rRNA". It matches the Rfam family "Bacterial large subunit ribosomal RNA", at positions 1539 to 2741 of the family's 2925-position model. Lineage: Bacteria; Pseudomonadati; Pseudomonadota; Gammaproteobacteria; Oceanospirillales; Alcanivoracaceae. The record is from RNAcentral.
AAUCCGGCACCUUAAGGCUGAGAGUCGAGACCACUGGUCCUUUGUGACCGGGAAGUGGUUGAUGCCAUGCUUCCAGGAAAAUCUUCUAAGCUUCAGGUUAUAAGGAACCGUACCCCAAACCGACACAGGUGGUUGGGAUGAGUAUUCUAAGGCGCUUGAGAGAACUCGGGUGAAGGAACUAGGCAAAAUUGUACCGUAACUUCGGGAGAAGGUACGCCGCUGACGGUGACGAGACUUGCUCUCUGAGCUAUUGGCGGUCGCAGUGAAAAGGCCCCUGCAACUGUUUAUUAAAAACACAGCACUCUGCAAACGCGUAAGCGGACGUAUAGGGUGUGACGCCUGCCCGGUGCCGGAAGGUUAAUUGAUGGGGUUAGCUUCGGCGAAGCUCUUGAUCGAAGCCCCGGUAAACGGCGGCCGUAACUAUAACGGUCCUAAGGUAGCGAAAUUCCUUGUCGGGUAAGUUCCGACCUGCACGAAUGGCGUAAUGAUGGGGGCGCUGUCUCCACCCGAGACUCAGUGAAAUCGAAAUCGCAGUGAAGAUGCUGUGUACCCGCGGCUAGACGGAAAGACCCCGUGAACCUUUACUAUAGCUUCACAGUGGACUUUGAACCUGCUUGUGUAGGAUAGCUGGGAGACUUUGAAGCGGUGACGCUAGUCAUCGUGGAGUCGUCCUUGAAAUACCAGCCUGGCAUGUUUGAGGUUCUAACCUAGGUCCAUUAUCUGGAUCGGGGACAUUGUGUGGUGGGUAGUUUGACUGGGGCGGUCUCCUCCCAAAGAGUAACGGAGGAGCACAAAGGUACCCUCAGCACGGUCGGACAUCGUGCAACGAGCGUAAAGGUAGAAGGGUGCUUGACUGCGAGACCUACAAGUCGAGCAGGUGCGAAAGCAGGUCUUAGUGAUCCGGUGGUUCUGUAUGGAAGGGCCAUCGCUCAACGGAUAAAAGGUACUCCGGGGAUAACAGGCUGAUACCGCCCAAGAGUUCAUAUCGACGGCGGUGUUUGGCACCUCGAUGUCGGCUCAUCUCAUCCUGGGGCUGAAGCCGGUCCCAAGGGUAUGGCUGUUCGCCAUUUAAAGAGGUACGCGAGCUGGGUUUAGAACGUCGUGAGACAGUUCGGUCCCUAUCUGCCGUGGGCGUUGGAGAUUUGAGAGGAGCUGCUCCUAGUACGAGAGGACCGGAGUGGACGAACCUCUGGUGUUCCGGUUGUCACGCCAGUGGCAUUGC